AAAUUUACAGUUUAAAAUGGACAUUUUAGUAAAUUAAGAGUGAGGUUGUAGCUAGGGUUCUUCUCUCUGUUUAAAAUACAAGAUCGUUUACUUCCAAGCCCCGUCCUCAGCAACUGGUUUCGACACAAUCGUCUUCAGGAGCAGGAAGGAGAGUUGUUUUUCUAGAUCAACAAGGAAAAUGUCGGGGGAAGAACCUGCCGUUGUUGCAGCCGAGUCAGCUGCCGCGAUUCCAGGCGAGCCAAUGGAUAUCAUGACUGCCUUACAACUUGUCCUCAGAAAAUCUCUGGCUUAUGGUGGUCUUGCACGAGGCCUUCAUGAAGCAGCAAAAGUGAUUGAGAAGCAUGCUGCACAGCUCUGUGUUCUAGCAGAAGACUG
Molecule: non-coding RNA, 375 nt
Organism: Cajanus cajan (pigeon pea)
Lineage: Eukaryota; Viridiplantae; Streptophyta; Magnoliopsida; Fabales; Fabaceae
Source: RefSeq, a predicted model, not a curated record